Molecule: ribosomal RNA, 500 nt
Filed under: uncultured bacterium
Lineage: Bacteria
Description: bacterial SSU rRNA
Rfam family: Bacterial small subunit ribosomal RNA
Source: RNAcentral
AGAGUUUGAUCAUGGCUCAGGAUGAACGCUAGCGGCAGGCCUAAUACAUGCAAGUCGAACGGGAUGGAGUAGCAAUACUUCAUUCAGUGGCGCACGGGUGCGUAACGCGUAUGCAACCUACCUUUAACUGGGGGAUAGCCUUCCGAAAGGGAGAUUAAUACCGCAUAAUACUAUUUGAGGGCAUCCGAAGAUAGUGAAAGAUUUAUCGGCUAAAGAUGGGCAUGCGUGCCAUUAGCUAGUUGGUAGGGUAACGGCCUACCAAGGCUACGAUGGCUAGGGGUUCUGAGAGGAUGAUCCCCCACACUGGCACUGAGAUACGGGCCAGACUCCUACGGGAGGCAGCAGUAGGGAAUAUUGGGCAAUGGACGCAAGUCUGACCCAGCCAUGCCGCGUGCAGGAAGAAGGCCUUCUGGGUUGUAAACUGCUUUUAUCUGGGAAGAAAAAGUCCAUGCGUGGAAAACUGACGGUACCAGAGGAAUAAGCACCGGCUAACUCCGUGC